RNAcentral lists this small nucleolar RNA (74 nucleotides) under Otolemur garnettii (small-eared galago). Its description in RNAcentral is "Small nucleolar RNA U13 (ENSOGAG00000023543.2)". The record is from RNAcentral. Lineage: Eukaryota; Metazoa; Chordata; Mammalia; Primates; Galagidae.
AUCCUGUUGUAGUUCAUAAGCAUGACUGGAUUUUCAUAUUUAUGUGUGAGAUGCGCCUUGCUCAACCAUUUUGA